UACGUAGGGUGCAAGCGUAUCCGGAUUCACUGGGUUUAAAGGGUGCGUAGGUGGGUUGGUAAGUCAGUGGUGAAAUCUCCAGGCUUAACUUGGAAACUGCCAUUGAUACUAUCAAUCUUGAAUACCGUGGAGGUCAGCGGAAUAUGUCAUGUAGCGGUGAAAUGCUUAGAUAUGACAUAGAACACCUAUUGCGAAGGCAGCUUACUACGCAUAUAUUGACGCUGAGGCACGAAAGCGUGGGGAUCAAACAGG
Molecule: ribosomal RNA, 252 nt
Filed under: uncultured bacterium
Lineage: Bacteria
Description: partial 16S ribosomal RNA
Rfam family: Bacterial small subunit ribosomal RNA
Source: RNAcentral